CCUACGGGAGGCAGCAGUGAGGAAUAUUGGUCAAUGGAGGUAACGCUGAACCAGCCAAGUAGCGUGCGGGAUGACUGCCCUAUGGGUUGUAAACCUCUUUUAUGCGGGGAUAAACUGAUCCACGUGUGGCUUUUUGCAGGUACCGCAUGAAUAAGGACCGGCUAAUUCCGUGCCAGCAGCCGCGGUAAUACGGAAGGUCCGGGCGUUAUCCGGAUUUAUUGGGUUUAAAGGGAGCGUAGGCCGCCCCUUAAGCGUGUUGUGAAAUUUUGUGGCUCAACCGUGGGACUGCGGCGCGAACUGGAAGACUUGAGUGUGUUGGAGGCAGGCGGAAUGCGUGGUGUAGCGGUGAAAUGCAUAGAUAUCACGCAGAACCCCGAUUGCGAAGGCAGCUUGC
This 394-nucleotide ribosomal RNA is filed under the name uncultured bacterium. Its description in RNAcentral is "partial 16S ribosomal RNA". It matches the Rfam family "Bacterial small subunit ribosomal RNA", at positions 338 to 729 of the family's 1533-position model. The record is from RNAcentral.